AGUUUGAUCUGGCUCAGAUUGAACGCUGGCGGCGUGCUUAACACAUGCAAGUCGCGCGUGAAAGGGCUUCGGCCCAAGUAAAGCGCGCACGGGUGAGUAACGCGUGGAUGAUCUACCCAUGAGUUGGGAAUAACGGCUGGAAACGGUCGCUAAUACCGAAUACGCUCCGAUUUCAACUUCGGGGGAAAGGUGGCCUCUGCUUGCAAGCUACUGCUCAUGGAUGAGUCCGCGUCCCCAUUAGCUAGUUGGUGGGGUAACGGCCCACCAAGGCGACGAUGGGUAGCCGGUCUGAGAGGAUGACCGGCCACACUGGGACUGGAACACGGCCCAGACUCCUACGGGAGGCAGCAGUGGGGAAUAUUGCGCAAUGGGCGAAAGCCUGACGCAGCGACGCCGCGUGAGGGAAUGAAGGUCCUCGGAUCGUAAACCUCUGUCAGGAGGGAAGAACCGCCACGGUGCUAAUCAGCCGUGGUCUGACGGUACCUCCAAAGGAAGCACCGGCUAACUCCGUGCCAGCCGCCGC
RNAcentral lists this ribosomal RNA (523 nucleotides) under uncultured bacterium. RNAcentral's name for it is "bacterial SSU rRNA". It matches the Rfam family "Bacterial small subunit ribosomal RNA", at positions 10 to 518 of the family's 1533-position model. The record is from RNAcentral.